Molecule: long non-coding RNA, 109 nt
Organism: Cucurbita moschata (crookneck pumpkin)
Lineage: Eukaryota; Viridiplantae; Streptophyta; Magnoliopsida; Cucurbitales; Cucurbitaceae
Exons: 2
Source: RefSeq, a predicted model, not a curated record
UUUAUUUAGAUUUGUUUUGAAUUCAGUUACGGAAGGUUUUAUUUUCAGAGAUAUGUUUGUUUGGAUUUUUGGAUCUUUAUGAAAGACUUUGUUGUGUUUUCCAAGGUUA